GUGCAUGAACAUGUAGUAGUACAUGAAGCUCUGCAGAAAGUUCCUCAGAUCUCUGUGGAGCGUUUAGAUGAUCUGUUGAUAAACUGAUUGUUUAUUUCCUGUUGAUCAGUUGAAGACCAGGGCCCUGUUUCACGAAGCAGGUUUAGUGAAAACUCUGAGUUUCUUAACCCUGAAAUGAGGGAAACUCAGAGUUUUCCGUUUCAUGAAGCGAGGUAACUUAACCCUGAGACAGAGGGGUAACUCUAGCCUGUUUCACAAAGAGGGGUAACUUCAACUCUCGGUCAGUUACCGCAGUAACAGACUCUAUGACUCUAACCUGGUCACCAGCAGGUUUAUCUGAGAAAACCUCCAGUUUCUCUCCGUCUCCGCCCUCUUUCAGCCACACGCUGUUUCAUUUCCUCAUUCAUUCAGUCAGUAAGCGAGCGAGUUUUGGCGUAGAACAGCUUUUAUUAACGAUCCAGUGGAUAAAGGAGCAGCAUUACUGCACAGAUAAUUAAAUAUUCGUCGGUAGAUUGUUAUCAGACCGAGCAUAAAUGUUCUCGCAUUUCCGGACAGUUAUCGGUUUGAGCGGUACCGUUUCAUAAUCGUUUCAAGUCCAUAAUCUACAUAAACAACCUAAUCCGUCCUUACAUUUACAUUACCAACCAGUCAUGCUCUCACAUCCAGCAGAUAUUGUGUGUUGCUGCGGUUCUUUGCAAAUGAAAGUUUUUAUAUAAUGUCAGAGAUGCAGAGUAAGACAACUGUAUGGAGGACAGUCAGAAAAGUUUUCCUGGCUCUGAAACCACUUUUACUCAUCAUUGUGGUUUUCCUGGACAUAAACCUGUCAGAACAUCAGGAGGAUCCACAGGAUUGCAGGAUUUCCCAGUGUGAUUGGCUGCAUAGAUGCACACACAUCCCCAUCACAGCUCCCUCACAUCAUGAACAGGAAGUCCAUUCACAGCAUAAAUGUGCAGAUCAUAUGUGAUGCUGCAUACAUCAUUUCUAAUGUGGAGGCCACGUGGUCUGGGUCUGUUCAUGACUCCAGGAUUUAUGGAGAGUCUAACCUGAGCAACAGACUGCAGCGUGGUCAGCAGCAUAAAGAUUUUCACAAUAGAAUUCUCUUGUCUCCCUCCUUUAAUAUGCUCUGAUGUAUCCACUAUACAUUACAGGAGAGUUUGAUGGCCUUCUGCUGGGUGACAGGGGUUACCAUGACAACCCAGGCUGAUGACCUCAUACCCUGACCCUGAACCAGGCCCCCAACAGAACUUCAACCGGACUCACUGCAGGACCAGAGCCCGGGUGGAGAUGACCAUAGGCCUGCUGAAAGCCCGUUUCCAGAGCCUACGUCUCCUCAGGGUGACCCCUGAGAGGGCCUGUGAUAUUACUGUGGCAUGUGUUGUUCUUCAUAAUAUUACUAUUAGAGGAGAGCAACACCCUGCCCUACAAACUGAAGACCCAGAUGAUGAGCCCAUCCACCUGCAGCUAUCCAGGACAGCAGAGCAGUCAGAGACACCGUAUGCAAGAAUCACUUUAGAGUUUAAGUCUCCAUCAUCACCACCACAGCAAAUAAAGACAUGAUACACAUUUCA
Long non-coding RNA from Acanthochromis polyacanthus (spiny chromis), 1568 nucleotides. RefSeq lists it as uncharacterized. The transcript is spliced from 3 exons. Lineage: Eukaryota; Metazoa; Chordata; Actinopteri; Pomacentridae. The record is from RefSeq and is a predicted model, not a curated record.